Papaver somniferum (opium poppy) is the source of this 318-nucleotide long non-coding RNA. RefSeq lists it as uncharacterized. Lineage: Eukaryota; Viridiplantae; Streptophyta; Magnoliopsida; Ranunculales; Papaveraceae. The record is from RefSeq and is a predicted model, not a curated record. The transcript is spliced from 3 exons.
UUUUGAAGAUCCAGAAAUAGGAGAAGAAAGAGCUAGUUAUGCGUAUAGGUUAACUAUGGUUCUUCACUUCUUUGUGUUUGUGAAGACCCUUAAUAUGUACAGGGUGGCAUCAAAGGGGUCUACCAAGAAAUAUAGUGUAGUAGUUCAUCAUGGUCACAAUGUUGAAGACAAGAUAUUAUAAUUGGGGAGAAGAAGGUAGCAUCCAAGCGGAACCUAAUAAAGAGAAGUCUUGCACUGCAUCAAAGAGUUAUGAUGUCCCUGGAUAUACCUGAUCCCUCUCUCCAAAUGUUUGUGACAAAUCUUACUUAUCCGCUUCUG